GUAAGUCUCAGUUCGGAUUGAAGGCUGAAAUUCGCCUUCAUGAAGCCGGAAUUGCUAGUAAUGGCAGGUCAGCAUACUGCCGUGAAUACGUUCCCGGGCCUUGUACACACCGCCCGUCACACCAUGGGAGUCGGAAAUGCCCGAAGUCAGUGACCCAACCGUAAGGAGGGAGCUGCCGAAGGUGGAGCCGGUAACUGGGGUGAAGUCGUAACAAGGUACC
RNAcentral lists this ribosomal RNA (220 nucleotides) under uncultured bacterium. RNAcentral describes it as "partial 16S ribosomal RNA". It matches the Rfam family "Bacterial small subunit ribosomal RNA", at positions 1281 to 1500 of the family's 1533-position model. The record is from RNAcentral.